Long non-coding RNA from Gopherus agassizii (Agassiz's desert tortoise), 318 nucleotides. The record is from Ensembl. NCBI's taxonomy places the organism in Eukaryota, Metazoa, Chordata, Testudines, Testudinidae.
CAGAGACCCCGGCAGCCAAUCCCAUUCCUCAGACUGUGCUGCAUUCGGCUCUCUCUAGGACCCAGCAGCCCUGCUUCUACACUGUCUGGGCUGCCUGCAGAGUGGUGCCCCCCCAGGCAGAGUGAGGCCCUACGCGGCUGCCUAUUCUGCCUAUGCCUAAGGAUGGCCCUGCACUGUGUGAGGAUUCCACUCUUGUUCCACAGCAAAACUGCGGCAGGUCCUUCACAGAGCCAUGAACAUGGAACUGGAGCUUCAAUGAAGAACGAGCGAGCAGGCAGCUUCUCCCCCGCUGCAGCCUGUGUCAGGCUGCUCUCAUGA